GCGUGUCUCAUUUAAAAGUCACAGCACCUCGAACAAUUCUUCAAAUGUAUCCGUGGUUAUGUCUGCGUCUGUGUGUGUGACUCUGAUAAAUGUGAAUAUAAGUGAUGGCGUGAAUGUGUGUAAAGUUAGAAGGCGACAUUAGGAAGCAGACAGGGUGAAAUUGGCGUUCGGCACAAAGCUGGUCAGCCUCUUGAAGGGCCAUUAAAGCGACACGGAAGAAAUUGCAGGGACUCACUGGAAUGAAUCGUCGCUUUCUGGCUCUGAGUGCUGCUGCUAUUUGUUUUUUUUCUGUCUGGAGUUUGGAGUUGAUAUUGUUAUUUAUUUGUAGAGCAACUUUCAUGACCAUCUGGAGCUUGAAAAUUAUUCAAAGACGCUUGGCAUCAUGCAAGAACUUCUCGAAGGAACACAUCUGUUGAGGAGCGUAACAGGUUUAGAGGCGGCGACACGAGAGCUGCAAGGGAGGACAUGAUAAAGCAAUGUCAUUCCACUACAAGGAAUACUGUCCCUGCAGACUGCUGCAACCAUCACUCAUCACAAUAUGCUCGGCCUCCCAUGUGUUCUGUUUUCAUGUUUUCUGGGACACCACUUUCAUUUUACAACAUCUGUGAUUAAACUUUGUUUUUAAUGAAAAAAUCAAGACUACAGGACUUAUUUGAAAUGACUUA
This is a long non-coding RNA of Notolabrus celidotus (New Zealand spotty), 665 nucleotides long. RefSeq lists it as uncharacterized. Lineage: Eukaryota; Metazoa; Chordata; Actinopteri; Labriformes; Labridae. The record is from RefSeq and is a predicted model, not a curated record. The transcript is spliced from 3 exons.